Molecule: ribosomal RNA, 460 nt
Filed under: uncultured bacterium
Lineage: Bacteria
Description: partial 16S ribosomal RNA
Rfam family: Bacterial small subunit ribosomal RNA
Source: RNAcentral
CCUACGGUGCGCAGCAGUGAGGAAUAUUGGUCAAUGGACGAGAGUCUGAACCAGCCACGUAGCGUGAAGGAUGACUGCCCUAUGGGUUGUAAACUUCUUUUAUAAAGGAAUAAAACGAGGCACGUGUGCCUUUUUGCAUGUACUUUAUGAAUAAGGAUCGGCUAACUCCGUGCCAGCAGCCGCGGUAAUACGGAGGAUCCGAGCGUUAUCCGGAUUUUUUGGGUUUAAAGGGGGCGUAGAUGGGUUGUUAAGUCAGUGGUGAAAGUUUGCGGCUCAACCGUAAAAUUGCAAGUGAUACUGGCAGUCUUGAGUACAGAUGAGGUAGGCGGAAUUCGUGGUGUAGCGGUGAAAUGCUUAGAUAUCACGAAGAACCCCGAUUGCGAAGGCAGCUUACUAAACUGUGACUGACAUUGAUGCACGAAAGUGUGGGUAUCAAACAGGAUUAGAUACCCCUGUAGUC